Molecule: long non-coding RNA, 1576 nt
Organism: Hylaeus volcanicus
Lineage: Eukaryota; Metazoa; Arthropoda; Insecta; Hymenoptera; Colletidae
Exons: 4
Source: RefSeq, a predicted model, not a curated record
AGAGGUCCGUGCUAACGCGAACCAGGCUGACUAACGCGGGACGAUCGUAACGCGAUUUAUUUUCUCGAAUUUGUUGCGAUACACGGUGAAUUUUGAGUGGCGACGUCGGGGGAAACGGAGUUCAAGAACCGAGAACUUCAAUUUGCAUCAAACUCUCAAGACGAGUGUACUUUACGCGUCGCGUUAGAAGAGCUCCUAUUAUCCUCGUUGCAUUCCUCUCUAAAUGAAAUCACAUCGUCUGCGGCGAGCCACGCUUCGAGAACCACGAGAAACUUUGGUGGACUUGUUUGAUAAACGGCCCGGCAAACCCCGUGGCAAAUCAUCGCCAAAGUCAAAGGCAUUCCUGGCUGGAUGAUAGUUUGCGUUUCGCAAGGGAUUUGUCGUCGGCGGUCCGUGCCGAUUCGCGAUCAAUUUGAUGCAGAGACGGUCGCGGCGCAGCCAGUCCAAUCUCUGCUCGUUCCCUCCGCGAGUGAAGCACCGGUACGUUUCUCGACCAGACAUACCGGUUGAUCGAGCAACCUUUUUGAAGCACGAAGCGCAACAAGUUCAACGAAGCGGGCGGUGCGUGUCGACCGGGCUCUCUCGAGCUCUCCGUCGAUGGGAAGGGCGCUGGAAAAGCUACGUCACACUGUCAGCAGCGCGAAUCGCCAGAGGUUCAGCCUGGUGCUCGCUAAGCAAUUCGUUCGUGCACCGUGAAAUAUAAUAACGCCGAGGGUAAAUUGGAUUAUUCUUGUGGCGUGUCUGGUCGGUUAAAUUUGGAUGGAAACGACUCGAACAGUUCCGAUCUUCGAUGAAACGUACAUUGAAAGCGCGAGAAGCGAGUUUCUGGGAGCCGAGUCUUGUUUACGGGGUGCUGACGGGGAAAAGAAGUGCGAAGUGACAGAGAAAAUUUGAAAAUUUGACGGAAAUGAAACUAGUUGUUUCCACUGUUAGCAAUCUUCCUCUCAGAAUUUCGGGAAAAUGUGUAUUAAUACUAUUAGUCCGUAGUAUGAUUGUAUAGAUUCGCAUAGUGAACCUCAUUCAUUGAGAAUUAAUAACUUAUAAACAAAAAGGAUGAAAAUAUUGCCAAUAAUAACCCAGUUUUAAUUGACACCGUGGUAUAGAGGAAUUGCCAUCACCAUACAAAGACAAAAGGUACAAAAGACCACGAAACAACGAUAGCGAUGCAUCAUACGAUUAGAUCUCUGCGUCACGCGGCGCGAGAUUGUCAUUCGCGCCAAAAAAACGAAGAAAACGCAACUGCUAUGGACCAGUGUUACUCGCAGAUAAUAUACAAAACAAGCGGAUGGAAACAGAGAUGGAGCGAUACGUGGGUACGCCUAACUGUAAUUGGAUUAAUGGUUUGCUAUGAAUUAUUAGAAUUUCUGACUAUAUUUCACGUUGAAGUAAACAUUUUCCUGUUGGGUGGACUCGUAAAUAAUAUCCGUUCUAUAAUUGAGCUCUCCAGUUAAAUAUUCACCUGUCGUUUAAAUAUUAGAAGGACCGAAAAGUAAUCAAAAUGUCUUCGACUUGGAAAAGUUUUUCAAUGAAUAAUCGAAAAACUUGUUUAAAAAGGGAAUCGAACGACUGCCUUUAC